GACGAGCGCUGGCGGCGUGCUUAACACAUGCAAGUCGAACGGAAAGGCCCUGCUUUUGUGGGGUGCUCGAGUGGCGAACGGGUGAGUAACACGUGAGUAACCUGCCCUUGACUUUGGGAUAACUUCAGGAAACUGGGGCUAAUACCGGAUAGGAGCUCCUGCUGCAUGGUGGGGGUUGGAAAGUUUCGGCGGUUGGGGAUGGACUCGCGGCUUAUCAGCUUGUUGGUGGGGUAGUGGCUUACCAAGGCUUUGACGGGUAGCCGGCCUGAGAGGGUGACCGGCCACAUUGGGACUGAGAUACGGCCCAGACUCCUACGGGAGGCAGCAGUGGGGAAUAUUGCACAAUGGGCGGAAGCCUGAUGCAGCAACGCCGCGUGCGGGAUGACGGCCUUCGGGUUGUAAACCGCUUUCGCCUGUGACGAAGCGCGAGUGACGGUAAUGGGUAAAGAAGCACCGGCUAACUACGUG
This 468-nucleotide ribosomal RNA is filed under the name uncultured bacterium. RNAcentral's name for it is "partial 16S ribosomal RNA". It matches the Rfam family "Bacterial small subunit ribosomal RNA", at positions 28 to 507 of the family's 1533-position model. The record is from RNAcentral.